GGGAAUUGGCGCGGCUAUACAUGCAGUCGAGCGAACGGACGAGAAGCUUGCUUCUCUGAUGUUAGCGGCGGACGGGUGAGUAACACGUGGAUAACCUACCUAUAAGACUGGGAUAACUUCGGGAAACCGGAGCUAAUACCGGAUAAUAUUUUGAACCGCAUGGUUCAAAAGUGAAAGACGGUCUUGCUGUCACUUAUAGAUGGAUCCGCGCUGCAUUAGCUAGUUGGUAAGGUAACGGCUUACCAAGGCAACGAUGCAUAGCCGACCUGAGAGGGUGAUCGGCCACACUGGAACUGAGACACGGUCCAGACUCCUACGGGAGGCAGCAGUAGGGAAUCUUCCGCAAUGGGCGAAAGCCUGACGGAGCAACGCCGCGUGAGUGAUGAAGGUCUUCGGAUCGUAAAACUCUGUUAUUAGGGAAGAACAUAUGUGUAAGUAACUGUGCACAUCUUGACGGUACCUAAUCAGAAAGCCACGGCUAACUACGUGCCAGCAGCCGCGGUAAUACGUAGGUGGCAAGCGUUAUCCGGAAUUAUUGGGCGUAAAGCGCGCGUAGGCGGUUUUUUAAGUCUGAUGUGAAAGCCCACGGCUCAACCGUGGAGGGUCAUUGGAAACUGGAAAACUUGAGUGCAGAAGAGGAAAGUGGAAUUCCAUGUGUAGCGGUGAAAUGCGCAGAGAUAUGGAGGAACACCAGUGGCGAAGGCGACUUUCUGGUCUGUAACUGACGCUGAUGUGCGAAAGCGUGGGGAUCAAACAGGAUUAGAUACCCUGGUAGUCCACGCCGUAAACGAUGAGUGCUAAGUGUUAGGGGGUUUCCGCCCCUUAGUGCUGCAGCUAACGCAUUAAGCACUCCGCCUGGGGAGUACGACCGCAAGGUUGAAACUCAAAGGAAUUGACGGGGACCCGCACAAGCGGUGGAGCAUGUGGUUUAAUUCGAAGCAACGCGAAGAACCUUACCAAAUCUUGACAUCCUUUGACAACUCUAGAGAUAGAGCCUUCCCCUUCGGGGGACAAAGUGACAGGUGGUGCAUGGUUGUCGUCAGCUCGUGUCGUGAGAUGUUGGGUUAAGUCCCGCAACGAGCGCAACCCUUAAGCUUAGUUGCCAUCAUUAAGUUGGGCACUCUAAGUUGACUGCCGGUGACAAACCGGAGGAAGGGGGGGAUGACGUCAAAUCUCAGGCCCCUAUGAUUUGGGCUACCCCCUGUUAAAGGGACAAUCAAAGGGGAGCGAAACCGCGGGGCAGCAAACCCCAAAGUGGUUCCCCUUCGGAUGGAGUCGCACCCCACCCUGAGACUGGA
RNAcentral lists this ribosomal RNA (1298 nucleotides) under Staphylococcus aureus. RNAcentral describes it as "bacterial SSU rRNA". It matches the Rfam family "Bacterial small subunit ribosomal RNA", at positions 31 to 1330 of the family's 1533-position model. Lineage: Bacteria; Bacillati; Bacillota; Bacilli; Caryophanales; Staphylococcaceae. The record is from RNAcentral.